AGAGUUCGAUUCUGGCUCAGAACGAACGCUGGCAGCGUGGAUUAGGCAUGCAAGUCGAACGAGAAACCAUUGAACAAUCUUUCGGGAGAGUGAUAUGGUGGAAAGUGGCGGAAGGGUGAGGAACACGUGGGCAAUCUGCCCUUGAGUUGGGGAUAACUCGGCGAAAGCCGGGCUAAUACCGGAUGUGGUCGCUUGGCGCAUGUCAAGCUGAUUAAAGGUGGGGAUCUUUCGAGACCUGCCGCUCGAGGAGGAGCUCGCGUCCCAUCAGCUUGUUGGUGAGGUAAUGGCUUACCAAGGCUUACGGGUAGCUGGUCUGAGAGGAUGGUCAGCCACACUGGGACUGAGACACUGCCCAGACUCCUACGGGAGGCUGCAGUCGAGGAUCAUUUGCAAUGCGCGAAAGCGUGACAAUGCGACGUUGCGUGGAGGAUGAAGGCUUUCGGGUCGUAAACUCCUGUCAUUCGGAAAAAACAAUUUCGUUGUUAAUACCAGCGAAAAAUGAUGUUACCGGAAGAGGAAGCCACGGCUAACUCUGUGCCAGCAGCCGCGGUAAUACAGAGGUGGCGAGCGUUGUUCGGAUUUACUGGGCGUAAAGGGUGCGUAGGUUGUUCUGUAUGUUGGAUGUGAAAUCCCACUGCUCAACAGUGGAACUGCAUUCAAAACUGCAGAGCUAGAGUACAGGAGAGGAGAGCGGAAUUCUUGGUGUAGCGGUGAAAUGUGUUGAUAUCAAGAAGAACACCGGCGGCGAAGGCGGCUCUCUGGAAUGUUACUGACACUGAGGCACGAAAGCUGGGGGAGCAAACAGGUUUAGAUACCCUGGUAGUCCCAGCUGUAAACGGUGUGCACUUGGUGUGGGAGGAAUUGACCCCUCCCGUGCCGGAGCUAACGCGUUAAGUGCACCGCCUGGGGAGUACGGCCGCAAGGCUAAAACUCAAAGAAAUUGACGGGGGCCCGCACAAGCGGAGGAGCAUGUGGCUUAAUUCGAUGCAACGCGAAGAACCUUACCAGGGCUUGACAUGCAGCUGCACGUCUGCCGAAAGGUGGAAAGCUUUCGAAGGUGCUGCACAGGUGCUGCAUGGCUGUCGUCAGUUCGUGCCGUGAGGUGUUGGGUUAAGUCCCGCAACGAACGCAACCCUUGUGUUUAGUUGCCACCGCAGGUGAUGAGCCUGCGAGCACUCUAGACAGACUGCCCGUACAAGCGGGAGGAAGGUGGGGAUGACGUCAAGUCAGUAUGGCCCUUACGCCCUGGGCUGCACACGUGCUACAAUGGUCGGUACAGAAGGAUGCAAGACCGCGAGGUGGAGCAAAUCCCCAAAACCGGCCUCAGUUAGGAUUGGAGUCUGCAACUCGACUCCAUGAAUUCGGAUUCGCUAGUAACGGCGCAUCAGCUACGGCGCCGUGAAUACGUUCCCGGGCCUUGUACACACCGCCCGUCACAUCAUGAAAGCCGUCUGCACCCGAAGUCGUUGAGCCAAUCCGUCUUAUGAUGGAAGGCAGGCGCCGAAGGUGCGGGUGGUGAUUGGGAUGAAGUCGUAACAAGGUA
Molecule: ribosomal RNA, 1543 nt
Filed under: metagenome
Description: bacterial SSU rRNA
Rfam family: Bacterial small subunit ribosomal RNA
Source: RNAcentral